RNAcentral lists this transfer RNA (85 nucleotides) under Hankyongella ginsenosidimutans. Its description in RNAcentral is "tRNA-Leu". It matches the Rfam family "tRNA". From Rfam's summary of the family: Transfer RNA (tRNA) molecules are approximately 80 nucleotides in length. RNAcentral also lists the same sequence under 6 other names. Lineage: Bacteria; Pseudomonadati; Pseudomonadota; Alphaproteobacteria; Sphingomonadales; Sphingomonadaceae. The record is from RNAcentral.
GCGGGCGUGGUGGAAUUGGUAGACGCGCCGGACUCAAAAUCCGGUUCCGCAAGGAGUGUCGGUUCGAGCCCGACCGCCCGCACCA